CCCUUAGAUGUUCUGGGCCGCACACGCGCUACACUGAAGGAGGCAGCGUGUACUCCUGGAUCGAAAGAUUUGGGUAACCCGCGAAUCUCCUUCGUGCUAGGGAUUGAGGUUUGCAAUUAUCCUUCAUGAACGAGGAAUUCCCAGUAAGUGCAAGUCAUAAGCUUGCGCUGACUACGUCCCUGCCCUUUGUACACACCGCCCGUCGCUACUACCGAUUGAAUGAUUUAGUGAGGACUUUGGACUGGGACCGAUGCGGCUUUCGGGCUGCGUCGGUAUUCUGGAAAGAUGUCCAAACUGUAUCAUUUAGAGGAAGUAAAANUCGUANCA
Molecule: ribosomal RNA, 327 nt
Filed under: uncultured eukaryote
Lineage: Eukaryota
Description: partial 18S ribosomal RNA
Rfam family: Eukaryotic small subunit ribosomal RNA
Source: RNAcentral